GGUAUAGUGUAGUGGUCAGCACGCGAGAUUCUGAAGUCAGAAGUAAUGUUCUGUCAAGAAUUCUCGAGACCCCGGUUCGAGCCCGGGUACGACCU
This 95-nucleotide transfer RNA is filed under the name Cadophora sp. DSE1049. Its description in RNAcentral is "tRNA-Gln". It matches the Rfam family "tRNA", at positions 5 to 66 of the family's 71-position model. From Rfam's summary of the family: Transfer RNA (tRNA) molecules are approximately 80 nucleotides in length. The record is from RNAcentral. Lineage: Eukaryota; Fungi; Ascomycota; Leotiomycetes; Helotiales; Ploettnerulaceae.